RNAcentral lists this long non-coding RNA (1438 nucleotides) under Equus caballus (horse). Its description in RNAcentral is "lncRNA (ENSECAG00000050510.1)". The record is from RNAcentral. Lineage: Eukaryota; Metazoa; Chordata; Mammalia; Perissodactyla; Equidae.
GGGAGCAAGGGGGAUGUGAUGGGGAGGGUUACAAAGCAGAUUUCAACUUUCUCAGUAGUGUUCUUUUUAAUCUAAAAGAAAAGAAAUUGGAAGCAAAAUGACAAAAUUAUCAGCAUUUGAUAAUUCUGAGUCAUGGAUAGACAUUUGUAAUAUUCUCUGGACCUUUCUGUAUGUUUAAUUUCCUUUAAAAAAUACGGAAAUAAAGCCCAAUGUGUGGCCAUAUGUCAGGAAGUCACUAGUCCAGCUGUGCCUCUCGUUAGCGUGUGGCUUUGAACCAAUCAAAGCUUUCGAGAUCUCAGUUUCCUCCUCUGCAAAAUCUAGUGAAGAGCACUAUUUAUUGCAAGGAGGGUGUUUGGGGAAUUAAAUGAUCUUUGGGGGAAAUUGUAUAAAAGCUAAACUUCUAUUCAAAUGUUAGUUAAAAUUGGGUUGUUGGGUUGAUAAUCCCUGAGACUUGUCUUGUUUUAGUGGGACGGGCUUGUGGAGCGUUCUGAGGAAGGAGCGGGGUGAUGGGUAUGAAGGCCUUGCUCAGGACUGGCACUCAGCUUGUGGCAGAGAUACGGGACCUGCUCAGUCCUGAGUCUCCUCGUCCUCACAAGCGGAGCUCUGCUUUUAUUCCAGGUGGUGAUGUGCCUAGAAAAAGAGAGACAUUUCCUCGUCUCCUGGAAGUAGGAGCAGUUGGUUGGUUUUCUAGAAAUCUUCACAAAGGCUGCCUCAGCUGGGAGAGGUGCCUUUUUGCCCUUCCUCUACCUCUUUUUUCUCUCUCGGAAAGCAAAGACGAUGGCUGGCAUUCCUACAGCCAUCUUGGACCAUGAGGUGACCUUGAAGAUAAGAUAUAAGCUUUGCGCUAAACACGUUGGAGAAGAAAGAUGAAAAGCAUCUGGUCCCUGAUGCCUGUGGAGCUGCCUUUACUGCCUCGGGCUGCCCACUUCAGGCUUCUUUUAUGGGAGGGAAAAUAAACUUGUAAGUUACUCAGUCGCUUAUUUGGGCUACUGUUACAUGCAGCUGAACCGAACCCUAACUGAUACAUUUUUGUUAUUCUGAAGAUGCUUUGAAUAGGUAAACUAGAAAAGAGAACCCCGGUCGCCGCCGCCUGCCCCGCCGCCUGCCCCUCUGCCUGCUCUGGGAGGAGAGACUCAGCUGUUCUGCCUCUUCCUCAGCCGCCUCCUCGUUGCUGCGUUUUCCUGCAUUUAAUGAUUGUAAAAGAUAAAGAAACAGAAUUUGAAUGACCUCAUUUCUGUCAUGGGUGCCUCUCUCUGCUGUAGUUCCAACACUGUGGAGGGGCCCCCAGAAUCCAGCUCAUGCUGUUUCACACACCGUUUACUUUACCACGUGGACAGUGCUGCUCUGAUCGCGGGAGCUGCCGUCGUGACCUGCCUCAGCCGUCUGUGUGUCUGGGAUGAACAGCUACCGGGGCAAAUGAAACGCAAACUCCCUGGCU